Molecule: ribosomal RNA, 497 nt
Filed under: uncultured bacterium
Lineage: Bacteria
Description: partial 16S ribosomal RNA
Rfam family: Bacterial small subunit ribosomal RNA
Source: RNAcentral
GAUGAACGCUGGCGGCGUGCCUAAUACAUGCAAGUCGAGCGAACGGACGAGGAGUUUGCUUCUCUGAUGUUAGCGGCGGACGGGUGAGUAACACGUGGAUAACCUACCUAUAAGACUGGGAUAACUUCAGGAAACCAGAGCUAAUACCGGAUGAUAUUUUGAACCUCAUGGUUCAACAGUGAAAGUCGGUCUUGCUGUCACUACUACAUGGAUCCGCGCUGCAUCAGCUAGUUGGUAAGGUAACGGCAUACCAAGGCAACGAUGCAUAGCGGACAUCAGAGGGUGAACGGGCACACUGGAACAGAGACACGGUCCAGACACCUGCGGGGGGCAGCAGUAGGGAAUCUUACGCGAUGGAGGAAAGCCGGACAGUGCAAAGCGGAGGGAGUGCUGAAGGACUGCGGAUCGUAGAACUCUGUAAUAAGGGAAGAACAAAUGUGUAAGUAAAUGUGAACAACUUGACGGUACCUAAUCAGAAAGCCACGGCUAACUACGUG